GAUGAAGAACGUAGCGAAAUGCGAUACUUGGUGUGAAUUGCAGAAUCCCGUGAACCAUCGAGUCUUUGAACGCAAGUUGCGCCCGAAGCCAUUAGGCCGAGGGCACGCCUGCCUGGGCGUCACACGUCGUUGCCCCCCCAUCUACUCCUUCGGGAUUGCGGGGGGCGGAUGAUGGCCUCCCGUGCGCCUCACCACGCGGUUGGCAUAAAUGCCAAGUCCUCGGCGACGCACGCCACGACAAUCGGUGGUUGCGAAACCUCGGUUGCCCGUCGUGUGCGGUCGUCGCGCAUCGAGGGCUCGAAAAAAUUGCCGGGUUCCGGCUCGGCUUUCAACGCGACCCCAGGUCAGGCGGGGUUACCCGCUGAAUUUAAGCAUAUCAAUAAGCGGAGGA
RNAcentral lists this unclassified non-coding RNA (391 nucleotides) under soil metagenome. RNAcentral describes it as "partial contains 5.8S ribosomal RNA, internal transcribed spacer 2, and large subunit ribosomal RNA". The stretch from base 1 to 122 matches the Rfam family "5.8S ribosomal RNA", at positions 35 to 154 of the family's 154-position model. The record is from RNAcentral.